CCGCCCGUCACACCAUGGGAGUCGUUUGCUCCAGAAGUGGCUGCGCCAACCCCGUCCCCCUCGUGGGAUAGGCGGCAGGUCCCCAAGGAGUGAACGGUAACUGGGGUG
This 108-nucleotide ribosomal RNA is filed under the name uncultured bacterium. Its description in RNAcentral is "partial 16S ribosomal RNA". The record is from RNAcentral.